GGGGAUGUAGCUCAAAUGGUAGAGCGCUCGCUUAGCGUGUGAGAGGUACGGGGAUCGAUGCUCCGCAUCUCCA
RNAcentral lists this transfer RNA (73 nucleotides) under Jatropha curcas. It matches the Rfam family "tRNA". Rfam says of the family: Transfer RNA (tRNA) molecules are approximately 80 nucleotides in length. Their secondary structure includes four short double-helical elements and three loops (D, anti-codon, and T loops). Lineage: Eukaryota; Viridiplantae; Streptophyta; Magnoliopsida; Malpighiales; Euphorbiaceae. The record is from Rfam by way of RNAcentral.